This 466-nucleotide ribosomal RNA is filed under the name uncultured bacterium. RNAcentral's name for it is "partial 16S ribosomal RNA". It matches the Rfam family "Bacterial small subunit ribosomal RNA", at positions 28 to 507 of the family's 1533-position model. The record is from RNAcentral.
GACGAACGCUGGCGGCGUGCUUAACACAUGCAAGUCGAACGGAAAGGCCCUGCUUUUGUGGGGUGCUCGAGUGGCGAACGGGUGAGUAACACGUGAGUAACCUGCCCUUGACUUUGGGAUAACUUCAGGAAACUGGGGCUAAUACCGGAUAGGAGCUCCUGCUGCAUGGUGGGGGUUGGAAAGUUUCGGCGGUUGGGGAUGGACUCGCGGCUUAUCAGCUUGUUGGUGGGGUAGUGGCUUACCAAGGCUUUGACGGGUAGCCGGCCUGAGGGUGACCGGCCACAGUGGGACUGAGAUACGGCCCAGACUCCUACGGGAGGCAGCAGUGGGGAAUAUUGCACAAUGGGCGGAAGCCUGAUGCAGCAACGCCGCGUGCGGGAUGACGGCCUUCGGGUUGUAGACCGCUUUCGCCUGUGACGAAGCGUGAGUGACGGUAAUGGGUAGAGAAGCACCGGCUAACUACGUG